This 408-nucleotide ribosomal RNA is filed under the name uncultured bacterium. Its description in RNAcentral is "partial 16S ribosomal RNA". It matches the Rfam family "Bacterial small subunit ribosomal RNA", at positions 29 to 526 of the family's 1533-position model. The record is from RNAcentral.
AGUGAACGCUGGCGGCGUGCCUAAUACAUGCAAGUCGAACGAAGUGGCGGACGGGUGAGUAAUAUAUAGUUAAUCUGCCCUACACAGAGGAACAACAGAUGGAAACGACUGCUAAUACCUCAUAGUGUAGGAUGAGACUAUAUCGUAUCAGCUAGUUGGUAAGGUAAUGGCUUACCAAGGCUAGGACGCGUAACUGGUCUGAUAGGAUGAUCAGUCACAUUCGAAGUGAGGCACCAGCCGAACACCUACGAGAGGGGGCGGUAACGAAUAGCGGCCAAUGCGCGAGAGCCUGACGGGGCAUCGGGGCGUAGAGGAUGACACGUGUCGAAGCAUAAACUCCGUUUAACAGGAAAGCGGUACCUGAAGAAGAAGCACCGGCUAACUCCGUGCCAGCAGCCGCGGUAAUAC